This 403-nucleotide ribosomal RNA is filed under the name bacterium. RNAcentral describes it as "partial 16S ribosomal RNA". It matches the Rfam family "Bacterial small subunit ribosomal RNA", at positions 355 to 776 of the family's 1533-position model. The record is from RNAcentral.
UGGGGAAUAUUGCACAAUGGAGGGAACUCUGAUGCAGCGACGCCGCGUGAACGAAGAAGGCUUUCGAGUCGUCAAGCUCUUUUAUAUGGGAAGAUAAUGACGGUCCCCUAAGAAAAAGCCCCGGCUAACUCCGUGCCAGCAGCCGCGGUAAUACGUAGGGGGCUAGCGUUGUCCGGAAUCACUGGGCGUAAAGGUUUCGCAGUCGGAAAUGCAAGUCAGGUUUAAAAGGCAGUAGCUUAACUACUGUAAGCAUUUGAAACUGCAUAUCUUGAGAAGAGUAGAGGUAAGUGGAAUUUUUAGUGUAGCGGUGAAAUGCGUAGAUAUUAAAAAGAAUACCGGUGGCGGAGGCGACUUACUGGGCUCAUUCUGACGCUGAGGAACGAAAGCGUGGGUAGCAAACAGG